GGAGAGGGAAGUUGGUCUUGGCCUUGGAGCCGCGGAACUCUCUGGCAGCGGCGUCGUAGGCUCGAGCGGCUUCCACAGCCGUGUCGAAGGUACCGAGCCAGACCCGGCUCUUCUUGCCGGGGUCUCUGAUCUCGGCGGCGUACCGGCCCCAUGGCCUCUUCCUCACUCCUCUAAAAUGCACCUCCUUCACGUUUCCGUUGCCGUUAGCUCUGACGGCGGUAGCCGUCUU
This 229-nucleotide long non-coding RNA is filed under the name Prunus persica (peach). RNAcentral describes it as "long non-coding RNA (PPER_LNC003981)". The record is from RNAcentral. Lineage: Eukaryota; Viridiplantae; Streptophyta; Magnoliopsida; Rosales; Rosaceae.